GCCUAACGGCUGAACUGGCAACUUGGAGAAGUGGCAAGUUUUAUAAUUAAUAGUAAUUAAUAUUUCUAUUUUUAUAUAAUUAUAUUGGAAUGAAUGAAGCUUUGUUUAUAUAUUGAUAAUGACAGUAUAUAUAUCGUGUCUUGACCAAUUACGUGCCAGCAGUCGCGUAAUACGUAAGAGACUAGUGUUAUUCAUCUUAAUUAGGUUUAAAGGGUACCCAGACGGUCAAUAUAGCUUCUAUAAUGUUAGUACUUGACUAGAGUUUUAUGUAAGAGGGCAGAACUUGAGGAGGAGAGAUGAAAUUCCGUGAUACCAAAGGGACUCGGUAAAGGCGAAGGCAGCCCUUUAUGUAUAAACUGACGUUGAAGGACGAAGGCACAGAGAACAAACAGGAUUAGAUACCCUAAUAGUCUUUGCAGUAAAUGAUGAAUGCCAUAGGUCAGAUAAAUAAUAUUUGGUCUAUAAAUGAAAGUGUAAGCAUUUCACCUCAAGAGUAAUGUGGCAACGCAGGAACUGAAAUCACUAGACCGUUUCUGACACCAGUAGUGAAGU
RNAcentral lists this ribosomal RNA (552 nucleotides) under Thelonectria trachosa. RNAcentral's name for it is "SSU rRNA". It matches the Rfam family "Bacterial small subunit ribosomal RNA", at positions 374 to 938 of the family's 1533-position model. Lineage: Eukaryota; Fungi; Ascomycota; Sordariomycetes; Hypocreales; Nectriaceae. The record is from RNAcentral.